ACAGAGGGUGCUAGCGUUGUUCGGAAUCAUUGGGCGUAAAGGGCGUGUAGGCGGUUUGUUAAGUCAUGUGCGAAAUCCCUCGGCUCAACCGGGGAACGACGCAUGAAACUGGCAAGCUAGAGUACCAAAGAGGGGGGUGGAAUUCCUGGUGUGGCGGUGAAAUGCGCAGAUAUCAGGAGGAACACCGGUGGCGAAGGCGGGUCUCUGGGCAAUAACUGACGCUGAGGAGCGAAAGCGUGGGGAGCGAACAGGA
RNAcentral lists this ribosomal RNA (253 nucleotides) under uncultured prokaryote. Its description in RNAcentral is "partial 16S ribosomal RNA". It matches the Rfam family "Bacterial small subunit ribosomal RNA", at positions 525 to 777 of the family's 1533-position model. The record is from RNAcentral.